Molecule: long non-coding RNA, 7329 nt
Filed under: Arabidopsis lyrata
Lineage: Eukaryota; Viridiplantae; Streptophyta; Magnoliopsida; Brassicales; Brassicaceae
Description: long non-coding RNA (ALYR_LNC001107)
Source: RNAcentral
UUUCCCCGUCACCCGCAAGGCCAACAACGACAUUACUUCUAUCUCAAGCAACGGCGGAAGAGUUAGCUGCAUGAAGGUAAUGUCCUAUAAAAACUGUAUUUUGUCAUGUGUAAUUAGUGAAAUUGAACAAAACUUAGAAUAAUUGGAAUUGGGAGUUAUAGGUGUGGCCACCAAUUGGAAAGAAGAAGUUUGAGACUCUAUCUUACCUCCCUGACCUUACUGACGUCGAAUUGGCUAAGGAAGUUGACUACCUUCUCCGCAACAAGUGGAUUCCUUGUGUUGAAUUCGAGUUAGAGGUAAUAAACACUGGACCUUUCGUUUGUCUCUAAUCAUUAUAUAUUAUUUUCUUACAUAGCUAAAAACCAAAGUCAAUAAGCUUAUUUUCGUUUGUCUCUAAUCAUUGUUCAUUGAAUGGAUUUCGUAUUCAUUUAUAGCAUGGAUUUGUGUACCGUGAGCAUGGAAACACACCUGGAUACUACGAUGGACGGUACUGGACAAUGUGGAAGCUUCCAUUGUUCGGAUGCACCGACUCCGCUCAAGUGUUGAAGGAAGUGCAAGAGUGCAAGAAGGAGUACCCUAACGCCUUCAUUAGGAUCAUCGGAUUUGACAACAACCGUCAAGUCCAGUGCAUCAGUUUCAUUGCCUACAAGCCCCCAAGCUUCACUGAUUCUUAAUUAAAUCCUUUCUGGAAUAUUCAAUGUUGACUAUCCGGAACAAUUUUGUAUGGUCAAUGUAAAUUUAAGUAACUAUUAUCUAGCCAACUUAAACGUUGAGCAAUUGUUUUGCGAAAAGUGAAAAAGUUGAAGGUUUAUUUUCUAUCAUUUCCUCUAUAAUUAUAUCUAUUCAUAUCAUUUCAUUUUUGAUCUUAUCACUUUGAACUCUUUCAUCUUCGAUUUAGCUCUUUUAAGCAACAUUUUAUUUCCUUUACAUUUCCCUCCUAAUUUUUGCUUUUGAUUCUCUAGACUAACCUAUAAUAGAAGAGAGACCUUUUUAGAUACCUUUUUGGAAAAACUUUGCACAUGAAAUCAUAACAAAGAUGCCUCAAUAAAUCAAAUCUCGAAAGGGCCAGUACCUUGUGACUUAGAUGGAUGGGCUAGGACGAUCUCGCUUUCGAAAAAAAGAUUUAUUUGAUUUUGCUGUGGGUGGAGCAAUGUUGACUACCUCCGCACUAUUUUCUUGAACGGUUUUGGCUAUUUUGUACCUUGUACGCGCUUCUGCUCACGGGAAAUUUGUGAGCUUUAAGUUGGUAUUGUGGAUCCAUGACCAUAGCUUCUUCCUGUGGCCUUAGGGAGAGUUCUUGCCUCGGUUCCACACCGUCCAUUGAAGUGUGCUAUGAAAAUUCCCCACAAUCUGUCAUGUCUUCCAUGCUUAAGUUGACAUGGUGGAAAUCAUCUUGAGGUGCCACAUUUUAAGUGGGCCGUACGUGCAAUGGUGUGGUGCUCCGAAAGGAACGGUAGCAUGGGUUCCUAUAGCAUUGGAUCGUUUUCUAAACAAUAUGCAUUAUGUGUUUAUAAAUUUUAGUAAUUGUACAUACAUGUCCCAGUUUAAAAACAGAUUAACAUACAUUAUAAUUUUAAGGGCUGCCUAUAGCGUUACACCUAUACUAUAGCGUUUCAACUCCUAUCCACCUGUACUUUCGACCUCUGCCCAAUUCACCUUAUACUUGUUUUAAACUUCCUAAUUCCACCUAAACUAUUAAAUUCUCCAUAAUUAACCAAAAUCAAGAACUCUCUAUAAUUGCGAUUAAAAAUCGUUCAAAUCGCGUUUACUGUAGGCCAACCCGAGUCAGAUCCGACCAGCUUCGAAGACUUCUUUCACCAUAAGGGUUUGACUCGUGUUCAUUUGUUUUGUCGGGUCAACCUCGGAUUAAUAUAAACACAUAUUUUUUUACUGCAAUUUGAACUAUUUUUAAUCGUAAUUAUAGAGAGUUGGGCAGAUGUCGAAAGUACAUGUGGAUAGGAGUUGAAACGAUAUAUAUAGUAUAGUUGUAACGCUAUAGGCAGCCCUAAUUUUAAUAAGAAUGAUAUAAACUCAACUAAACUUCCUCUUCUUAGUUUGAAACUUUGCAUGACCAUUAACUCUCUUAUACUGCAUAAGACAUAAUUAGUGACAUAUUUUUUUCUUUCUAUUAUCAAUAUUUUCGUUAGCAUGUACUCGUUGUAAGAUGAAUAGAGAAAUAAUUGAAUUAUGAAAUAACGAAAUCAAUGUAUAUAUAUAUAAAACAAAAACAAUUUUACGCUGAACAAUUUUUUUUUAAAAAAAGGCAAAAAAAUUGCUUGUUUCAUAUUAUAGGAUGUUUUGGACCUUUUUUUUUGUUUCACAAUAUAUAAUGCUUUGAAGAAAAAAUACAAGUUUCUAUGUAAAACAUUAAAUUUAAUAGAUUAUUGACUAUUUACAUUAUGCAGUAAAUUAUAUCACUGAUUAAAUUAUUUUUAAUAGAUAUUAAUUUUUGUUUUAAUGUUAAAAACUCAAGAUUAGUUAAUUUCUUAAACUUUGUGCUUUCAUCUUUUUUUUUAUCUUUUUUUUUUGUCAUCCGAAAUUAAUUAUACCUCAAAAGAGAGAGUAUUAUUUGAAACAAAGAGAGUAUUAUUUAGCAGAUAAAUGACUUUUAUCUGAUUUAAUUAUAAUUUUAAAAUGUGCGGGAUGAAUUAAAAGAUCAUUUAUCAUUUUUCACGUUUUGUUUUUUUCCAGUUAGGUUUUUGUGAAUGGUUUUUACUCAGCGUAAUCAUGUUUUAAGAACAAGAACGUGAGAAAGUUAACAAAAUACCGUUGCAAGACUUUAUUUUUGUUUUACACAAAAUGUAGUUUUAUAUUUUCAAAGUAGUUUUUUUUAAUAGAAUUUACUUAUAUUCUUUUUAGUUAAGAUAAUCAAAUGGGAAAAUAAAAAUAUUAAUGUGUUAAUACAAGAUAAUAGAAAUUUAAUCAUUUUAAUAUAUAUGUAAAAAGUAUUCAACCGAUAUUUACAAUUAGACAGAACUAAGAAGUAUUAAAUUUCUCACCUCACCUCCCAAAAGAAAGGAGCCAAAAGCAACCGAUCAAGUGGAGACCAGUACUAGCCAUACACAUUCACUCGUUCCCUUACAAGAGAAAGAUAAGAUUAUGGAGUUUUCUGCCACUUGGUCUUAUCCUAGUGGUCCGAAUUGAUAAGGGUUUCAACACCUUUCCUUAAUCCUGUGGCAAUUAACGACGUUAUCAUGAAUUAUGGCCACUUUGAUCAUUAGGGCUUUUUGCCUUGCAGUUCUCACUAUAUAAAGAUGACCAAAUCAAUCGACAAACAAGUAAAAGAAACAACAAGAAGUAGUGAUGGCUUCAUCUAUGCUCUCCUCUGCCGCUAUGGUUACCUCCCCAGCUCAAGCCACCAUGGUCGCUCCAUUCACCGGCUUGAAGUCAUCCGCUGCUUUCCCGGUCACCCGCAAGGCCAACAACGACAUUACUUCUAUCUCAAGCAACGGCGGAAGAGUUAGCUGCAUGAAGGUAAUGUCCUAUAAAAACUGUAUUUUGUCAUGUGUAAUUAGUGAAAUUGAACAAAACUUAGAAUAAUUGGAAUUGGGAGUUAUAGGUGUGGCCACCAAUUGGAAAGAAGAAGUUUGAGACUCUAUCUUACCUCCCUGACCUUACUGACGUCGAAUUGGCUAAGGAAGUUGACUACCUUCUCCGCAACAAGUGGAUUCCUUGUGUUGAAUUCGAGUUAGAGGUACUAAACACCGAACUUUUCCUUUGUCUCUAAUCAUCCUUUAUUAUUUCUGUUCAUUGGUAGAAACAUAAGUCAAUAACCGGAUUUUAAAACCCGAAAUAGACUAUAACCGUGUGACUCCUCGACUAUCAAUGGUAUUGAAUGGUUUUGUCAUCUGUUUAUAGCACGGAUUUGUGUACCGUGAGCACGGAAACACUCCCGGAUACUACGAUGGACGGUACUGGACAAUGUGGAAGCUUCCAUUGUUCGGAUGCACCGAUUCUGCUCAAGUGUUGAAGGAAGUGCAAGAAUGCAAGAAGGAGUACCCUAAUGCCUUCAUUAGGAUCAUCGGAUUCGACAACAACCGUCAAGUCCAAUGCAUCAGUUUCAUUGCCUACAAGCCCCCAAGCUUCACCGAUGCUUAAUUCCCUUUCUGGAAUGUUCAACGUUGACUAGUAUUUCGGAAUCCAAUUCUAUGUGGUCAAUGCAAAUUUAAGAAAUUAAUUAGCCGACUUAAAAGUUGAGGAAUUAUUGUGUGAAAGUGAAAAAUUUGAAGGUUUUUUCUAUCAAUUUCCUUAUAAUUAUAUUUACUCAUUUGAUUUCAUUUUUUUUCUUCUAGCUCUUUGAGCUCUAUUUUUCGUUUAGCUCCUUUUGACAACAUUCCGGUUCAUUUAAAUUCUCCUCAUUAUUCUUGCUUUUGAGAAAUUGGCUACAUUGUUUCGAGAAAUUUUGCACAUGAAAGCAUAACAAAGAUGCCUCAAUUUAUCAAACCUCGAUGAUUUAGAACAAAAGAUUAUUUAAGGGGGUGUAACCUUUUAAGAUGAAAUAGCCAUUGGAGAUAGCAAAAGGUAGUAAAAGACGUAUACACUAUAAACAAAAUCCAAAUGUAUGCUUUUAAAAUUAUAAACAUGUAUUCCAAACGCCUAAGUGGAAUAUUCAGUUUAAUUCAAGUCCAAGAAAUGGCAUUAUAUAAAGCAAGGAUCGACAAAGACUGAAAUUUGUCUAGCAUGAAGUUACUAAAUUUUGGAAAUUGUGUUCACGUUAAAAGCUGAAACUUAACAGUUAUUUAUAAGGAAAAGCAGUUAAUGUUCCCAAAAAGUUCUAAAUGAAACUAGAAACCAAAUGAUAAAGAAAACGUAGCAUCUACAUGUUUGGUUUUAGUUUUUUUUUUUUUGACAAAAAUAUUCAAAUGUUUUUAGAUUCUUCUAUGCAAACGAUAUAUAGAAAAUAUAUACAUGAUUCAAAUAUAAUACAAAUAAAAAUAAUUAUUGAAAUUACCGAACAUUUUUUUGCAUCUCCCUGAUUUACUUCCCACAUUUUCGUUUCAAAUAAAAUUCAAGAAAAAGAAAGACGACGAAAAAAAAUGACUUAAAAAGACAAGGGACAGAAGCUGGUAACUUAGAUGGAUGGGUUAGGACUAUCUCACUUUCGAAAAAUGUUUAUUUGGUUGAGGUGCGGAGUGGAGUGGAGCUUGUGAUUCUUUGCCCUAUAUGAGAGUUUUUUCGUGACCAAUUAUGGUGAUUGUGUACUUUGUAUACAUGUUUCUUCUCAUAUGGUUGAAAUGGGGGCAUUUGUGAGCUUUAAGGUGGCAGUCUUGAUCCACGACCAUAGCUUUACAUGACUUUAAGGUGAGUUCUUGCCUUGGUUCUACACCGUUGAUUGAAAUGAAUUAUGAAAAUUCCUCAUGAUCCGCCAUUUUUACAUGCUAAGUUUUUUUUUUUUGAAAAAUGCAUGCUUAAGUUGAAACGGUGGUUAUCAACUUGAGGUGCCAUAUUUGUGAUUAAGUGGGCCGUAAGUGCAACGGCGUGGUACUCAAAGAGGAACGGUGGGGUGGGUUUCACAUCGUGAUUGUGAUGUGAGUAUGUAUGUGACCAGAGUCCAGGGCCGGCUCAAAAUUAUUCGAGACCUUGUGCUGAUGUAUAAAAAUUGGUUUUUAAAUAAUAUAGUGAAAAUUUUGGACCCUCAAUCUUAGAGGAAAUUGAAAUUUUUUUUUGAGGACCCUGUGCUUUUGCUCCUCUAGCACACCCUUAGAGCUGGCACUGCCAGAGUCACAAGAUAAUCGUGAGCUGGUCUUACUUGUUGAUCGAGAGGCAGCAUUAACUCAUAUAGAAGAAACCAUGGACCUCCGACCUUGGGAGGUUUUCUUGGAAAUUCUUCCAUGAUGGAAGCUUACCGCAUGAGCAUGAUACAGGUAGAUGCAUGAUGGUUUCGGUUGUUUGCUCGAUCGCUUUCUACCACAAACAUAUCUUGCAUCUAAUUGUUGUUGCCUUGUUGGUUCUCAAAUAUUUACUCUCGAAACAGUAAGAUGUUGUUAGCCAUACGUAAAUCAGAAAUAAAAGUAUAGUUGGCUAAAACUGCAGUGAGUAUAGAAUUAACCGAUAUCAAUUUAUUCAAAUUUCCGUCUCUCUUUUCUUUUGUUGGCUAAUAUAUUAUCAUUUGAAGAUAAUAUAUAGUUUUUCCAAGAAAAGAAUAUUGACAAUUUUUUUGUGGUAAGUGAUUUUAAGAAUGACUCCAGAAUCGACAGGUUACCCAGACAAUAUUUAUCAUGGAUAAACCUAUCGAAAAAUCUUAAAAAUCAGUAUUAAUAAAACGGAAGUAGUAAUGAACUUCUAAGCUAUGCAUUACAAUACAUUUAUCUCAAUGUCGAAUUUAAAUAAUUUUCUUAGAACUCCUUUUUUAAUGCGACCUUAUUCACCAAAUCAAGUGAAGCCAAAUUAAAUCAUGCAUGGUAAAUAAAAUAUCCAAAAGCAUUAAAUUUAAGGUAAUGCGUCUGAUUUCUUUCCUCCCAAACGAAAGGAGCCAAAAGCAACCGAUCAAGUGGAAACCAAUAACCACACAUUCACUUCGUUUCCCCCACAAGAGAAGAUAAGAUAAUGGAGUUUUCUGCCACGUGGCAUUAUCCUAGUGGUCCGUACCGAUAAGGGUGUCAACACCUUUCCUUAAUCCUGUGGCAGUAAACGACGUUAUCAUGAAUUAUGGACCCUUUGAUCAUGAGGGGCUUUUUUCCUGUUGCGGUUCUCACUAUAUAAAGAUGACAAAACCAGUAGACAAACAAGUAAGUAAGAGAAAAGAGCAAAAGAAGAAGAGAAACAACAAGAAGUAGUAAUGGCUUCCUCUAUGCUCUCCUCGGCCGCUGUGGUUACCUCCCCGGCUCAAGCCACCAUGGUCGCUCCAUUCUCCGGCUUGAAGUCAUCCGCUGCUUUCCCGGUCACCCGCAAGGCCAACAACGACAUUACUUCCAUCGCAAGCAACGGGGGAAGAGUUAGCUGCAUGAAGGUAAAGUAAAGUCAUUAAUGAAAGAUGUCUUUUGUCAUGGCAAUUAGUGUAAUUGAACAAAACAUAGAAUAAUUGGAAUUGGAUUCGGGAAUUAUAGGUAUGGCCACCAAUCGGAAAGAAGAAGUUUGAGACUUUAUCUUACCUCCCUGACCUUACUGACGUCGAAUUGGCUAAGGAAGUUGACUACCUUCUCCGCAACAAGUGGAUUCCUUGUGUUGAAUUCGAGUUAGAGGUAAUAAACACUGAACCUUUCCUUUGUCUCUAAUCAUUAUAUAUUAUUUUCUUACAUAGCUAAAAACCAAAGUCAAUAAGCUUAUUUUCUACACCAAAGUUGAGGCUAUCAUUGUCCAUCGAAUGGUUUUCUUAUGUGUUUAUAGCAC